GGCUAACGCUGGCGGCGUGUCUUAGCCAUGCAAGUCGAGCGGACUUAUGGGGUAACUUAUAAGUCAGCGGCGGACGGCGGAGUAACACGUAGCUAACCUACCCUCUGGACGGGGAUAACCUACCGAAAGGUGGGCUAAUACCCGAUGUAGUCAUCCUGUAUAGGGGUGAUGAAAGGUGGGCUUCUGUUUACAAGCUCAUGCUGGAGGAGGGGGCUGCGGCCUAUCAGGUAGUUGGUAGGGUAAUAGCCUACCAAGCCGAUGACGGGUAGCCGGCCUGAGAGGGUGACCGGCCCGAGGGGCACUGAGAUACGGGUCCCACUCCUACGGGAGGCAGCAGGCUAGAAAUUUGGGCAAUGGGCGGAAGCCUGACCGAGCGACGCCGCGUGAGGGACGAAGGCCUUCGGGUUGUAAACCUCUGUCUGGGGGGACGAGUAAGGACGGUACCCCCGGAGGAAGCCCCGGCUAACUACGUG
This 473-nucleotide ribosomal RNA is filed under the name uncultured bacterium. Its description in RNAcentral is "bacterial SSU rRNA". It matches the Rfam family "Bacterial small subunit ribosomal RNA", at positions 28 to 507 of the family's 1533-position model. The record is from RNAcentral.